Long non-coding RNA from Piliocolobus tephrosceles (Ugandan red Colobus), 2205 nucleotides. RefSeq lists it as uncharacterized. The record is from RefSeq and is a predicted model, not a curated record. The transcript is spliced from 3 exons. Lineage: Eukaryota; Metazoa; Chordata; Mammalia; Primates; Cercopithecidae.
CGGUUCACUGCACCCUCCACCUCCCAGGUUCAAGCAAUUCUCCUGCCUCAGCCUCCUGACGCGUGCUCUAUGGCUGGUCACAACGUGGAAGGGACUGGAGUGUUUGCAGCCUGAGGAGUUGCUUCUGUAGAGGAGGAGAUCUGGAGUGUCGCCUUCUGGAUCCGAGUGGCCCUGCUUAUUCAUAAGGAUGGAAAUGACUUGGUAAAUAUUCCAUUUCUGCCAAGAUGCCCACCAACCAGUGCAUUCCAAGACUAUGAGGCGCCAUGAAUCCCUGGCUGGCUCACAUGAAGGCAAAUCCCCUUCAGGACCAGAAAGACCAGGUCACUUUGUCCAAAGGUGGUCCAGUUCCAGAUACUCAGGUCUUCUUUAGAUGUCACCUUCUCUUGACCUGCUUUCUCUUGGCCUAGCACCUCUUUCAGUCAUCACUGAUAUCACUUGCUUUCAGAUUCAGAUAUCUAAAGACUCUCCCCUAGGGCACAAUGUCCUGUCUCAUCCAUCUUUAUGAAGAUAGUGCACAGUGGGGGCAGGGGAUACCUGAAAGACCUGGGCUUUCACAUUGUGCAGACCUGGUUGUGAGCUGGGCUCCACUGUGUGCCAGCUGAGAUUGGGUGAUUUGCUGAACUGCUCUGCACUUCAAGUUUCUCAUCUGUUAGCAGGGAUUUAAAAUCUGUUUUGCAAGGAUGUUGUGUGGAGAUGAAAUGUGACAUCUAUGUGAUACAUGCAAACAGUCCCUGGCACAAAAUCAGUGCUUGAUGCCAUGACUCAGAGGCUCUGCCUGGUCCCUUGCCCAAGCUCGUCUAUCCUUCUUUUUAUGUCCCUUAGUAUCUUUCUUAGCUCCUUCCAUAGGAGAUAUCUGGGCCCAUUUUCUGAGCAAGCACCAGCUCCAUCCCACAAUUUCUACCUCCUUCCUCCCCACUUUCCUCCUCACCAUCCAAUUCUGGGUCCGUGGACUUAGUUACAUUCUAGUCAGCUCUCUGCCAGCCCUGAGGGCCUGGCUGGACUCCGGCUGGAUGGGACCCUGUGCCUUGGGUGCAGGGAGGAUCUGGACAGUCUUCCAGCAGCCUCUGCACUGUUGGCCAUGGAGUUGAGGGCAGUGGAUCCCUAUGGUUCGUCUCAGUUGCUGUGCCAUCAAGACUGGGGGAUGGGGUGGGCAGCGAGUAGAUUAGAUCUCAAUAUUCAAGUGUUGUCUGUGGACCAGCAGCACUGGCGGUCACCUUGGAGCUUGUUAGAAAUGAUAAAUCUUGGCCCACUGAAUCAGAAUCUUCAUCUUAACAAGAUUUCCAGUCAUUCCUUCUGAGCCCUGGGUUGACCCCUAGUGGGCAAGUGCCCCUCAAAUCACUACACAGGAGAACUGUUGGCAAGAUGAUUCUUCCCUCCAGGGUCAGCAAAGGUAUCUGCAAAUCCUUCAGUAGGGGUGUAUGUGUUUAAAACACGCACUAAAGUCUAAUUUAUUUAUGCAGGAAUCAUUUUUAAAUUUCUUUUCAGAUUGUUAAAGUAAACCUUUGAAUCCUGACCCAUCUGUGAUGUAAGAUGUGACUGGCCUUGCUUCAUGUAUAGAAGUCACACCCCACAAUAACAAUGUAGGGGAGGGAAGGUAAUAUCUUUUCCUCACCCAUGGAACGAGGGCCUUAUGACCUACUUUAGCUCAGGGAAUUCUUUUAUGGUCUGCUUCAGGUUAGCAGGCCUGUGCCCAUGUCAUUCAGUAAAAUCUCCCUAAACCAUAGCCACUCUGACCCUUUCUCAUUACGGAGACUGAAUCACACACACAUACACACAUACACACACAGGCCAUGACAUGAUGUUUUCCUCCCCCUGAACCUGUGCUUAUAUGUUAUCUCUUCUGCCUGGGAUGUCCUUGCUGUCCUUAGGGUGAAUUUUAGUCAUCCUUUAAGUUUCAUUUAAAGUGUCAGCUCAGUCACAGUGCCCUAUGUAAGAUGGCUGCGUGAUGGUGUUUCUGCUGUUACCACAUUGCAGUCCAGUGUUCUGUUGAUGGUGUGAUCACCUCCUGGAAACAUUGAACUCAGUGAGGGCAAGUUCUGUGUUGUAUUUAAUCAUCUUUGUAUCUCCAAUACCCAGCACAAUGACAGGCACGCUGGAGAUGCCCCAUAGAUGCUUAUUGCAUACGCAGAAAAAAAGCUUAGCUUGCUGUGAUGGCUUUUUGUUUUGUCCUUUGAAGUUUAAUCAGAAUAAAAGAAAAUAACUGCA